Molecule: ribosomal RNA, 327 nt
Filed under: uncultured eukaryote
Lineage: Eukaryota
Description: partial 18S ribosomal RNA
Rfam family: Eukaryotic small subunit ribosomal RNA
Source: RNAcentral
CCCUUAGAUGUUCUGGGCCGCACGCGCGCUACACUGACGAAUGCAACGAGCUUAUAACCUUGGCCGAAAGGUCUGGGUAAUCUCCAAAUUUCGUCGUGAUGGGGAUAGAUUAUUGCAAUUAUUAAUCUUCAACGAGGAAUGCCUAGUAAGCGCAAGUCAUCAGCUUGCGUUGAUUACGUCCCUGCCCUUUGUACACACCGCCCGUCGCUCCUACCGAUUGAAUGGUCCGGUGAAGCGUUCGGACCGUGGCCUUUGGACGGUUCGCCGUCCGUUGGCUGCGGGAAGUUCGUUAAACCUUAUCAUUUAGAGGAAGGAGAANUCGUANCA